Molecule: long non-coding RNA, 1510 nt
Organism: Homo sapiens (human)
Lineage: Eukaryota; Metazoa; Chordata; Mammalia; Primates; Hominidae
Product: long intergenic non-protein coding RNA 511
Source: Ensembl
CGGGCUGGACGGUUGGGAAGGAAGGUCGUGGACAACAAAGUAAUGAACAAAAAUAUGUUUCACGCAUGAGAAGCUGUCCGAGAUGGCAGUGAGGGAGAGGUCAUGGCAAACGGUGUUUAUGGCAUGGAAAAGUGAAGAUUCAAAAAAAAACCCAAGGAGAGGCCAAGAUAGUGUGGAAAAUAUCCACCCCCUCCCAGAGACAGCUCAUUAGGAAGGUUUUGGAGGGAGACUCGCAGGAGGUCAGGGGCUGCUGUGUUAUCUUUGGAGGAAAGGCCAUCCCUUCUCUUCCCCUCCGCAGACGUAUCCAGUGAGACAACUCUCUCCCCAGCAAGCUUUUCUCAGGGAGCAGGCAGUUUCUUGAAAAAAUGAACCAGAUGAGGAUCCACCCACCUCCAGAAACAAAGACUGUGGCUGUCUCCAAGAAUGAAGCACCAGUCUCUUAGUUGGUAUCCCCAGGAGACCAAGUGAGUAGGUAUUACAAAUAUAAUCAGGGAAAAGAAGCUAUUUUAAAAAAUCGGUCAUUGGGCAGGAUGUUCCAAAGGGCAGAUGAAUGUAACUUCCAAGAUGAAGUAACCGGAUGUCUGUCAACUCAGAAAACAAGGUAAAUUGUAACCACUGAAAGUCCGCUGUUUCGAUUCUGGGCAAGAUGCUAUGGCAGAACAGGGACCAUGAUGAACUACUUAGAAAAAUACAUAAGGCCAUAAAUAAUGUGUGAUUAUUUGAUGAAUGCCUGUCUCUCCCACUGGGACCAUCAGCUUAGAAAAGAAAUGAUGUGGAUGUGCUCACCAAGUUAUUUGCAGAGCUUAGCAGAGUGGGAUAGAAGAGACCCAUGCAGGAGACCUCUCCAGGUACACAUAUUUCCUGCUACUGAAUGGCUUAGACUGGGAUUUGCAAGGAACUACGAAGUCCAAGACCUUUGCCUUUCUUUUAGAAGAAGGCACCAGCUGGUUCUCCAAUGUUGAAGGUCUUCUCCAGAGAUACCUUAAGGUGUGGGGAGAUUACAACUUGCUCAAGGUCUCAUAGCUAGAAGAUGUCAGAGUGAUAACUCAAACCAUGUCACAUGACUCUAAGCCCAAAGCAGCCUCUAGAAGGUUGUUUGAUCUUCUGAUGGAAGCACAAAUCACCAUUCCAACAUGAAAGAUGGAGAAACUUAAGUCUAGAGAGAUUUAAAGGACUUGUCAAAGGCAAUGAAACAAGUGAUGAGGAAACUGAGGCCCAGAGAGGAUAAAUGACUUGCUCAAGGUUAGCCAGUUGGUCAAUGGCAAAGAUUAAACCAGAACCCAGAUCUCCUCUCUCCAGCCAGAGUCUUCAAGCAAAGUCCCUAGGAGGAACUCUGAAAGCCACAUGUUGAGAUGGCCCCAUUACAGGAUGGAGAGCACCUGAACCCCCAAGUUAUGGACUAGAAGAAGACAGUUGCCCUGGAAAAUCAUCUGACCCACAUUGGACUUUAUGUGAGGGGGAAAUAAACCUUUAUUAUGUUAAGCUACACAAUAAUAAAUAACAACAAUAA